CCUACGGGUGGCUGCAGUGAGGAAUAUUGGUCAAUGGUCGGGAGACUGAACCAGCCAAGCCGCGUGAGGGAUGAAGGUACAGAGUAUCGUAAACCUCUUUUGUCAGGGAACAAAGGCGGGGACGUGUCCCCGGAUGAGUGUACCUGUAGAUAACGCAUCGGCUAACUCCGUGCCAGCAGCCGCGGUAAUACGGAGGAGGCGAGCGUUAUCGGGAUUUAUUGGGUUAAAGGGGUGCGCAGGCGGUCUGUUAAGUCAGCGGUAAAAGCCCGGGGCUCAACCCCGGCCCGACGUUGAAACUGGCAGUCUCGAGUUGGAGAGAGGUAGGCGGAAUGCGCGGUGUAGCGGUGAAAUGCAUAGAUAUCGCGCAGAACGCCGAUGGCGAAGGCAGCAUGCCGGCUCCACACUGACGCUGAGGCACGAAAGCGUGGGUAUCGAACAGGAUUAGAUACCCUUGUAGUC
This 459-nucleotide ribosomal RNA is filed under the name uncultured bacterium. RNAcentral describes it as "partial 16S ribosomal RNA". It matches the Rfam family "Bacterial small subunit ribosomal RNA", at positions 338 to 795 of the family's 1533-position model. The record is from RNAcentral.